CUACGUCAUUCUGCGCAUGCCAGCACCAGGAGUCCACAUCUUUCUAGCUCUAGAUGGUUCGUGUUCCCGCCACUCCAAAGCUGACACAGGACGGAUGACUGUGUGAACUAUGAGAGCUUUCUGGAAAUCCAUGUGACAGCCCUUUGCCCUAAGAAUGGAAAAGUGGGAGACUUGCAAAGCCUGAAUCACUCUGUAAAUGUCGCAUACGAGUGGUAUCAUCAGAAUAAUGAUCACCGUCUCCGGAUGUGGUUGAGAAGUGACUGUAUCAGAGUUUCUCUUCUAAAGGAGGUCUUACGGCUGGCCUUCUGAUGAUAACACCACCAGUCAUGGGAGUUAACACUUCUAGAAGGCUUACCAUGUUCCUGAUACGGUUCUAGGUUCCUUAGAACCUACUCGUUAAAGGUUUCCCUCCUGAAGUCCUCUGACUUCCUUCCUAAAGCUUGAUAUGACACCUAGCUAAGAUUCAAGUGUUUUGGGUUCAAAUCCUGACUCUUCCACUUACUAUUGUUGUCACAUCUCUGAACCCCAAUUUCGUCAUCUAUAAAGUGAGCAUACUUUCUUCCCAGAAGUAAAUGAAACAAUAUAGAUCAAAAAGCACCCCAUACUUAACAAGCUUUCAAUGACUGUUCCUGACCUUCCCCUAAGCAGUUGAUAUUUCUAUUUUAAAAUGUUUCCACUUUCAAAUAAUUCAAGGCAUAAGACCAAAUAAAGUGUUUUAAAUAUAUAAAA
This is a long non-coding RNA of Suricata suricatta (meerkat), 729 nucleotides long. RefSeq lists it as uncharacterized. The transcript has 2 exons. NCBI's taxonomy places the organism in Eukaryota, Metazoa, Chordata, Mammalia, Carnivora, Herpestidae. The record is from RefSeq and is a predicted model, not a curated record.